Molecule: small nuclear RNA, 107 nt
Filed under: Castor canadensis (American beaver)
Lineage: Eukaryota; Metazoa; Chordata; Mammalia; Rodentia; Castoridae
Source: RNAcentral
GUGCUCUCUUCAGCAGCACAUAUACUAAAAUUGGAACUAUACAGAGAAGAUUAGCAUAGCUUGUGUGCAAGGAUGACAUGCAAAUUCAUGAAGCAUAAAAUAAUAAA